This 492-nucleotide ribosomal RNA is filed under the name uncultured bacterium. RNAcentral describes it as "partial 16S ribosomal RNA". It matches the Rfam family "Bacterial small subunit ribosomal RNA", at positions 29 to 507 of the family's 1533-position model. The record is from RNAcentral.
AGUGAACGCUGGCGGUAGGCCUAACACAUGCAAGUCGAACGGUAGCACAGUAAGAGCUUGCUCUUACGGGUGGCGAGUGGCGGACGGGUGAGGAAUACAUCGGAAUCUACUUUUUCGUGGGGGAUAACGUAGGGAAACUUACGCUAAUACCGCAUACGACCUACGGGUGAAAGCAGGGGAUCUUCGGACCUUGCGCGAUUGAAUGAGCCGAUGUCGGAUUAGCUAGUUGGCGGGGUAAAGGCCCACCAAGGCGACGAUCCGUAGCUGGUCUGAGAGGAUGAUCAGCCACACUGGAACUGAGACACGGUCCAGACUCCUACGGGAGGCAGCAGUGGGGAAUAUUGGACAAUGGGCGCAAGCCUGAUCCAGCCAUACCGCGUGGGUGAAGAAGGCCUUCGGGUUGUAAAGCCCUUUUGUUGGGAAAGAAAAGCAGCAGGUUAAUACCCCGCUGUUCCGACGGUACCCAAAGAAUAAGCACCGGCUAACUUCGUG